This 680-nucleotide long non-coding RNA is filed under the name Elaeis guineensis (African oil palm). RNAcentral's name for it is "long non-coding RNA (EGUI_LNC043167)". The record is from RNAcentral. Lineage: Eukaryota; Viridiplantae; Streptophyta; Magnoliopsida; Arecales; Arecaceae.
UGGCAUAUUCCUUUAUAGAUCCCACCAAUCAUAAUUUUAGAUGAAAAUAUCCUUUAAUAAAUUUCAAAAUAUCUAUUAAAUAACAAAAAAUUAAAAAAUAUUUGUGCUUAAUUGGAAAAAUUCCUUCCAUAUUUUGGAGAUAUGCUCCUCGUAAACUCCCGAUUCCCACUUUGCUCUUUCUUUGCUCUCUGUCUCACUUACACAUCUUUCCUGCCUCCGCCUAAUUUUCUAUUCCAUCCAUUGUUCCAUCUCCCCUCCACCAAUCCCAUCUCCCUCAUGCCUCCAACACCCCUACCUUCUCUCUUCGCCUCCAUGGCUUCUCUCUCCCCAGCCCCCCCUCUCUUUGGCCCAACCACCCAUGCACCAUCCCUAUUUCUAUAUCCCUUUCUCACCCCAAUUCUUACUGUCCUCUCUGGCCUAGCCCUCCAUCCCAACACCUUGACGCCCCUCUUCUUCUCCACUAUGCCGUGAGUGUUGGACCUUUCUUGAUUCUUUCCCUUUAGUCCUAGCCUUCAUCCCUCCAUAGACCUAUAAAAUCUUUUAAUUUUAGUAUUUUAUAUUUUUAUUAUUAUUUAAUUUGUAAAUUUGACUUCAAACUCAUGAACAUUACUUUUAUUUUCAAUGUAUGUAUAAAUUUCUUUUAUUUCUAUUAUAUUAUAGUUGGUGUACUUUUCUGAAUU